RNAcentral lists this ribosomal RNA (103 nucleotides) under Triticum aestivum (bread wheat). Lineage: Eukaryota; Viridiplantae; Streptophyta; Magnoliopsida; Poales; Poaceae. The record is from RNAcentral.
AUUUCUGCUACGUUCUCCAACACGGAUCCCAUCAGAACUCCGAAGUUAAGCGUGCUUGGGCGAGAGUAGUACUAGGAUGGGUGACCUCCUGGGAAGUCCNNNN